This 522-nucleotide ribosomal RNA is filed under the name Salmonella enterica. RNAcentral's name for it is "partial 23S ribosomal RNA". It matches the Rfam family "Bacterial large subunit ribosomal RNA", at positions 1213 to 1733 of the family's 2925-position model. RNAcentral also lists the same sequence under 1 other name. Lineage: Bacteria; Pseudomonadati; Pseudomonadota; Gammaproteobacteria; Enterobacterales; Enterobacteriaceae. The record is from RNAcentral.
GCUUAUGCGUUGUUGGGUAGGGGAGCGUUCUGUAAGCCUGCGAAGGUGGCCUGUGAGGGUUGCUGGAGGUAUCAGAAGUGCGAAUGCUGACAUAAGUAACGAUAAAGCGGGUGAAAAGCCCGCUCGCCGGAAGACCAAGGGUUCCUGUCCAACGUUAAUCGGGGCAGGGUGAGUCGACCCCUAAGGCGAGGCCGAAAGGCGUAGUCGAUGGGAAACGGGUUAAUAUUCCCGUACUUGGUGUUACUGCGAAGGGGGGACGGAGAAGGCUAUGUUGGCCGGGCGACGGUUGUCCCGGUUUAAGCGUGUAGGUGUGUGUUCCAGGUAAAUCCGGUUCACUUUAACACUGAGGCGUGAUGACGAGGCACUACGGUGCUGAAGCAACAAAUGCCCUGCUUCCAGGAAAAGCCUCUAAGCAUCAGGUAACAUCAAAUCGUACCCCAAACCGACACAGGUGGUCAGGUAGAGAAUACCAAGGCGCUUGAGAGAACUCGGGUGAAGGAACUAGGCAAAAUGGUGCCGUAA